UACGGAGGGUGCGAGCGUUAAUCGGAAUUACUGGGCGUAAAGCGCACGCAGGCGGUUUGUUAAGCUAGAUGUGAAAGCCCCGGGCUCAACCUGGGAUGGUCAUUUAGAACUGGCAGUCUAGAGUCUUGGAGAGGGGAGUGGAAUUCCAGGUGUAGCGGUGAAAUGCGUAGAUAUCUGGAGGAACAUCAAUGGCGAAGGCGACUCCCUGGCCAAAGACUGACGCUCAUGUGCGAAAGUGUGGGUAGCGAACAGG
RNAcentral lists this ribosomal RNA (253 nucleotides) under uncultured bacterium. Its description in RNAcentral is "partial 16S ribosomal RNA". It matches the Rfam family "Bacterial small subunit ribosomal RNA", at positions 524 to 776 of the family's 1533-position model. The record is from RNAcentral.